This 229-nucleotide ribosomal RNA is filed under the name uncultured bacterium. Its description in RNAcentral is "partial 16S ribosomal RNA". It matches the Rfam family "Bacterial small subunit ribosomal RNA", at positions 568 to 796 of the family's 1533-position model. The record is from RNAcentral.
UGCGCAGGCGGGGAUGUAAGUCAGUGGUGAAAUACUGCCGCUCAACGGUAGAACUGCCAUUGAUUCUGCAUCUCUUGAGUAUGGUUGAGGUAGGCGGAAUGUGUUGUGUAGCGGUGAAAUGCAUAGAUAUGACACAGAACGCCAAUUGCGAAGGCAGCUUACUAAGCCAUUACUGACGCUGAGGCACGAAAGCGUGGGGAGCGAACAGGAUUAGAUACCCUGGUAGUCC